Molecule: unclassified non-coding RNA, 399 nt
Filed under: Hevea brasiliensis (rubber tree)
Lineage: Eukaryota; Viridiplantae; Streptophyta; Magnoliopsida; Malpighiales; Euphorbiaceae
Source: RNAcentral
CUCCUUCGGGCGGAUAUCCACCAGCUGGUUAUACUCCUCCAGGAGGAUACCCACCUGCAGGUUAUCCUCCUCCUGGUGGUUACCCUCCGGCUGGUUAUCCUGGUCCAUCAGCUCCACAUCAUUCAGGGCAUNNNNNNNNNGAUCUGGUAUGGGGGCACUGUUAGCUGGGGGUGCAGCUGCUGCGGCUGCUGCUUACGGGGCUCACCACCUGUCUCAUGGGCUUGGACAUCAUGGUUUUGGGUAUGGCCUUGGUCGUGGGAAGUUCAAGCAUGGAAAAUUUAAGCAUGGGAAGUUUGGCAAGCGGUGGAAGCAUGGAAUGUUUGGAAAGCACAAGGGNNGAUGGAAGUGAUUCUUACCUAUUUGACUCCCUCUCUUAUUAUACAUGCACCAGCUUUCUCC